Molecule: ribosomal RNA, 828 nt
Filed under: Clostridioides difficile
Lineage: Bacteria; Bacillati; Bacillota; Clostridia; Peptostreptococcales; Peptostreptococcaceae
Description: partial 23S ribosomal RNA
Rfam family: Bacterial large subunit ribosomal RNA
Source: RNAcentral
UGGUCAAGUUAUUAAGGGUGCAGGGCGGAUGCCUUGGCACUAGGAGCCGAUGAAGGACGUGAUAAGCUGCGAUAAGCUUCGGGGAGUUGCACGUAAACUUUGAUCCGAAGAUUUCCGAAUGAGGAAACUCACUUAGAGUAAUGUCUAAGUAUCAUUAAGUAAAUACAUAGCUUAAUGAGGGGAACUCAGGGAACUGAAACAUCUAAGUACCUGAAGGAAGAGAAAGAAAUUCGAUUCCGUAAGUAGCGGCGAGCGAACGCGGAUUAGCCCAAACCAAUAAAGUUUUCUUUAUUGGGGUUGAGGACAUACCAUGUAUAAGAAGUCAUUAUAGACGAAGAAGUUUGGAAAAACUCAUCACAGAAGGUAAUAAUCCUGUAGUCAAAAUAAUAAUUCUUUAGGUAUGAUCCAGAGUACCACGGGACACGUGAAACCCUGUGGGAAGCAGGAGGGACCACCCUCCAAGGCUAAAUACUACCUAGUGACCGAUAGCGUAUAGUACCGUGAGGGAAAGGUGAAAAGAACCCCGGGAGGGGAGUGAAAUAGAACCUGAAACCCUGCACUUACAAGCUGUGGAAGCACAUUUCUUGUGUGACCGCGUACUUUUUGUAGAACGGGCCAACGAGUUACGUUAAGUAGCAAGGUUAAGCACUUAAGGUGCGGAGCCGUAGCGAAAGCGAGUUUUAACUGAGCGUUCAGUUACUUGACAUAGACCCGAAACCGGGCGACCUACCCAUGAGCAGGAUGAAGCGAAAGUAAAAUUUCGUGGAGGUCCGAACCCACGAGCGUUGAAAAGCUCGGGGAUGACUUGUGGGUAGCGGUGAAAUUCCA